ACUCCUACGGGAGGCAGCAGUGGGGAAUUUUGGACAAUGGGCGCAAGCCUGAUCCAGCCAUGCCGCGUGAGUGAAGAAGGCCUUCGGGUUGUAAAGCUCUUUCAGGUGGAAAGAAAUAGCGCUGUUUAAUAGAUGGCGUUGAUGACGGUACCACCAGAAGAAGCACCGGCUAACUACGUGCCAGCAGCCGCGGUAAUACGUAGGGUGCGAGCGUUAAUCGGAAUUACUGGGCGUAAAGCGUGCGCAGGCGGUUGUGUAAGACAGGUGUGAAAUCCCCGGGCUUAACCUGGGAACUGCGCUUGUGACUGCACAGCUAGAGUACGGCAGAGGGGGGUGGAAUUCCACGUGUAGCAGUGAAAUGCGUAGAGAUGUGGAGGAACACCGAUGGCGAAGGCAGCCCCCUGGGCCUGUACUGACGCUCAUGCACGAAAGCGUGGGGAGCAAACAGGAUUAGAUACCCUGGUAGUC
This 468-nucleotide ribosomal RNA is filed under the name uncultured bacterium. Its description in RNAcentral is "bacterial SSU rRNA". It matches the Rfam family "Bacterial small subunit ribosomal RNA", at positions 335 to 795 of the family's 1533-position model. The record is from RNAcentral.